Molecule: non-coding RNA, 10954 nt
Organism: Paramuricea clavata
Lineage: Eukaryota; Metazoa; Cnidaria; Anthozoa; Malacalcyonacea; Plexauridae
Source: the annotation of a GenBank genome assembly
GAGCUGGUUGCCGCAGAGCGUGCUUCAAGGCUAAAACGAAAAAAAUGGAAAGAACUAAUUCCUGGAAGAAAUUACCUCGACUUUCUGACACAUUCACUUGAAAUGAGAAUCGUGAAGAAAUAGAAGGUAAAGAGACCUUAUUACUGUCGUUCCAAUUGAAGUGUUCCUCAAAUAUUGAUUCUAUACAUUACCUCAGGCUGACAAAUUCAUUUAUCAAGUUCCUCGAGAUAUUCAUACACUCCUGUGAAAGAGCCAAUUCCAAGAAUUUGAUCAUUUCUGGUCACUUCCUUUCUAUUUAUGAUUGGUUAGUUGCACAAACAACAAAGGUGAUUGGUGCAUUCAAACUAUUCAACAGGAAGUUUACAAUUAUACUAGGAAGUGUAUCAAUAUUUCGAGGAACUUGAUCAAAUGAAUUGGUCAGCCCGAAGUAAUGUAUUGAAUCAAUAUUUGAGGGACACUUCAAUUGGAACGACAGUAAGAUUUGACUCUUGAUUGGCUGCAUGGUUUGAGAUUUAGUAGCCAAUCAGAGGCUUGUGAAUUUCAUCGCACACACCUGCUUGUGAAUUUCAUUAUGAACUUCAUUAUUUCAUUGUGAAUUUCAUUAUUUCACACCUGCUUCUGAAUUUCAUUAUGAACUUUUGAACUUUGCAACGAAUUUGCGAAGUUCGGAACAUUUUAAGGAAAGGUUAGUUCGCUGACCUCAGAAUGACAUUUCGUCAAAACGUUUUUCUUCAAGACUGGUUUAGAAACAAACUUGGAGUAGGGUUAAGAUUAGGGUUAGGAUUAGAAUUAGUAUUUGGAAUAGGGUUAGUGUUAGUAACUCCGAAUAAAGUAAGCAUUUUGAUUCAACGUUUCGACUUUAUUUGGUCAUCAUGAUGACUAAAUAAAGUCGAAACGUUGAAUCAAAAUGCUUACUUUAUUCGGAGUUACCGUUGUAUUGUAUUUUAUGAAAAUACUCAGUGGUUCCCGCAAUUAGUGUUAGUAAAACCGUUGCUUUGUCACGUUUGUGACUCUGAGGCCAGCAAAAUAACCUCUUCCAACAUUUUAGUGAGUAAGUUGAAAUCGACAAUAAAUCUGCAUUUAAAUUAACCGCAACUACACGUUUUGGUAUCUGUGUAGGCAGUGGCGCGCUGCUAUCCGUACCUUUUAAGCACUAGUUAAAGUGUUUCCAGCCGAAAAAAUAGUGGAUAUAAAUUUAUGUGCAAUAAUUAGGAAACUGUAAUUAUUAUUACUGUUAUUAUUACUGUUAUUAUUAUUAUUGUUAUUGUUAUUGUUAUUGUUAUUGUUACUGUUACUGUUACUGUUACUGUUACUGUUACUGUUACUGUUACUGUUACUGUUACUGUUACUGUGACUGUUGCUACUGCUGCUGUUACUGUUACUGUUACUGUUAUUAUUAUUAUAUCGAAAGAUAUUGACAGAUUUCGUAGAUUAUUACGAACACUUGAAAUGAACGAUGAACGUAUUAUUAAAAAAUGUAUGGAGGUAGCUCUGAGAGCAACAUUCUACAUUUACUGCAACCCCUUGAACAACCCAGACUUACUGAAUUUUUAUUAGCUACUAUCGAUAUGAAGUGUCGAGAAUGGACCUAUCUGUCUAAUAUAGUGAACUGUUUCUCUAUUUUCCUGAUUUAAUUGAAAGUCUAAUGUGAUAUUUGUAAAAAAAUUAUCAUGUUAUUAAUAAAGAUUUCUGUUGUCUAAAAAUAAAAUAUUAUUAUUUUCGAAUUAACCAACAAUACAAUGAUGCCUCUAGUAAAUACUACAAUUCAUAAAACCCUAAUUAUAUUAAUCCAAAAGCAUAUUGUAACGUUGGCCAGUGCCCUUCCAUAAGCGAAGAGCAUUAGCUGUCAAUGUUUGUCAGCUAUUAUCAGAAGACAACUCGUGUUAAAAGUCCAGAUAAUAUUUUUCUCAUAAUUGCCUCGCUUUCCCAUAAUACUGUUUUUUGCAUUUCUCUACUUGUCCGAUUUAAAUUUUUCGCACUGUUAAACAGUUCUCUUAUAAAUUUCUUCUAUAAAAAAAAUCUUCUAAAGGUAAAAAAGUAAUAAAAAGGUAAAAAAAAUCAUGUAUUGUUUCUUGUAUCGGCUAGAUUAUCAAUACCAACUAAUUGUAGAGCUUCCAGCUUUUCUCAAUUGAUUUCAAGUCAAUCAGACAAAUGUCCAACCUGAUACUCCCCUGAGUUUUCACUUCCGCUAAGCCCCCCGAAAGCGGGUUUUGAGCUGAGCGGAAGUGUAUCAUGCAUCGAUUCCUUUUGAGUAUAUGUUUUCUAUAAUUUGUUCUAUUACAAUUUUUGUGUAGCAAUGAAUUGCGUUUCUUGUGUUAUAAUUGUGAACAUCUUUGUUACUCAAAAAAAUACAUGAUUAGUAAAAAUUUCUGAAAUGUUUUGUUAAUGAAUGAUCAUUUUGAAUGAUCAUUUUGAAAACCCUGAGUAUCAGGUUAACAAAUGUCCUGAUAUCUAUUACCACACUGGUGCAGUAUAUUCCAAGGUGCUCAUUGUCCCGUUCAUGACCUCGGGCGCCUGUUUGGUAUAAAAGCAAAGCUUGUCUCUUUUUUGUUGCCGUCCUUCCUGCAUGCAUGUGGGAUCUAACCAGGUGACGUCAUCACUACAAAAUUUGGAUUUCCAGGCUAUACAAAAUUCAUGCAUUAAUGCACGACAUCAUACCUGGCAACUUUCACGUGAGAUCAAGAUAUCGUUUUCUUUUACUGUAAAGAUACAAUUCAUUAACUUCUUAGAAUAACACAAACAUUAUUAUAUACACAUACCAAAAUUCAUGUUUCGUGCUUUUCUGACUCGGCUGCGCCUCGCGUUUUAUAUCUGAUAAAGCACUCCUAUAUACUCGUGUUUUAAAUAGUACUUAAAGAAUCAGUCUCAGGGUAAUGCAUUGCGCGCUUGGUCGUCCAUUUUUGGGUGCCCCUAAAAUGGCGACGUUCGUCUGUUACGAGUUGCGUCAAUUGACUGCGUGAAUAUCCGAAUAAUCUCUUUGAUAAAUUAUUAUUCCUUUUUCUAAUUCUUUACCAUUCGUCGCAACCAGAAUACUUGAUAUAAGUGGAUUACUACGCUUAGAGUAAAGAGUUUAUGGCUUGUAAUGCCCGAUGCAAAUAAUUUUCACGCUCUUACUUAUAUAUGAGAGAUAAUCGUGAACAUUUCUAGCUGUCAUUGCAUAGUGAAUAAAAUUUUGAGCGAGUAAAUACAAUAUGUAAAUCAAUCAAUCGAUUAAUCAAUCAAUCAUAGUCACUAUCCUGAUCAUUUUGCGAUUUGUCAGGAGGCAAAUGGUGUUUCCAAAGAAAAAUAUAAAACGUUAGUCUGCAGAACAUUGUACAAGGAGUUAUUAAACUUAUAUGUCAACAGCUAAAAGUAGUAAAGGACAUGUGUGACAAAUGAAUGUAUCUUUUGUAACUUUUUGGCUAUAGGGGUGAGUAAUAUUUAUUAUUUACUUGUAGUUUGUGACGUUAUUUCUAAAAAGAGACAUCGCCAAGCAGAUUUGGUCAAAAAGCUAGCAGAAUUGUUACAACUUAUUGUUACAAGCUUCUUAGAAGCUUGUUGCGAACACAUCUUGUUGACAAGUUGUGAGAUUUUUAUGUGCAUUUUAUGUGUAGUUUUUGAACAGGUGUACUAAUAGUAAAAAUUGGCAAAGUUCGAAUUUCCUAUAUGCAGACUUCGGUCCGAUAAAAAAACUUGCUCGUCUGUAAUCGGCCUUAUGCAUGCAUGCAUGGAAACUUGAAUUCCCCACAUGCAGAAAAACCGUGCUUACGGUCAGACGAAAAACUGGGUAGGUCACAGUUGUGACGUCAAACGGACGUUUAUAUUAUCCGACAAAGCAAAAUUUUAUUUGUCAAACAUACAAAGAGCGUUAUUUUGCGUCAGCAAAGCAGGCUUUUCAAUGACGUGCAAACAUGCACGCCAACUUCUGCUUUUCGCAGGUACUUCAAGAUUUCUAAGUGGGAUAUCCAAUGAAAAAAAUAAGCCUAGUGGCAAAUCGUGUCAGCCGCCAUAGUAUAACACGUGGAGUGACUUUGUGCCUGAUAAAACUCAACUUCAUUAGCAUUCUUUAUAUAAUUGUUCAUCCUAGGCGGGCUUUUCAGUCAAGCAAACAUGCGCCAACUCCCGCUUUUCGCAGGUACUUCAAGAUUUGACGUUACCGAAAGUGGGAUAACCCUUCCGACUUUGUGGACCUAAUACUUAAUCGUGUUUUUUUUUCAUACUUACUUUUUACUUCAAUUGACUUAAGGAAUUGCGUGCUCAGUGUAACAAGGUCUAUAACGACGUGAUUGAAUAAAACAACUAAUUUUUUUGUACAUUACACCAAUACAGAAAAAAUCAUAAUUUUUUUUUGUUUUUUAUAUAAACGUUAUGUGUGCUCCAAAAGGCUUAUCAAGGUUGACAUGAAAACAAACACAGUUUGUUUUUUUUUAUUACAAAGUUAAAUACGAAAAAGAACACAAACACUACGAUAGAGCAUCUGACCAUAGCAGAAACGACAAGUACUCAAAAUAAAACGUUGUACUAUAAUCUAUAUACCAAACAACAAAUAAUUUUGCUCACAGCUUAAUUGAAUUGAUCCGAAAUGUUUGUGAUAGGUACUGCUGAGCGGGUUAUAAUUUAACUGAGGUGAUGUAAAGUCCGUAGGCCUACAUUCCAAUGGUCGUCGGGACCCGGCCAUGGCAUUGGGAUGUUGUUAAUAUUUCGCACCUUUCGAACUUUCUUGAAUUGAAUCUCUAGUCUGUAUAUUAUCUAUCUGAUCAUAUUUUACAACUGUAGCACUAUAAGUUCAAAAUGUAAAUAAAGCGUUUGUUUACAUUACGAACUUUACAUCACAUUUAAUCAUAAGCAUUCGAUAAUCUAUAAUCGCUGAUGUAUAAAGCUGCUUGCGAAAACUUCAAAUUCGGCAUGUUCAAAAUCUAUACUUCCUACUCAACAGCCUAGUAUUGGCUAUUACUGCUAAUUUCAAAAAUUCUUCAGAAGUUUAACGGGAGUUGAAAUUAAUGAAUUUUUGGUUUGUUUCUAAUCUCUUCAUGUUGGUUUGUUUUGCGAUUUUCUUUUCAACGCUUGUUCCUCACAUUGAUGGGUUCUUCAGAACUGGUUGCCGAAGAGCGUGCUUCAAAGCUAAAACAAAAAAAAUGGAAAGGACUAAUUCCAGGAAGAAAUUGCCUCCAUUCUCUGACACAUUCAGUUGAAAUGAAACUUGUGAAGUUUAGAAGGUAAAAUUCUUAGAGAUUUCACUCUUGAUUGGCUGGUUUGACUGUUUAGUAGCCAUGCAAUUAGAGACUUUGUUUACAAAGUUAACUUGCUUGUCAAUUCAUUAUGAACUUUAAAACAAGACUUAUUAUGGUCUAUUAUUUAUAAUAAAAUUUACAAAUUGGUUUGUAAACUGAGCAUUUGAUUGGCUGGUUUGAUUUAGUAGCCAAACAGAUGCUUUGUUUACUGACUCGCAUGCACAAUUCAUGCACAAGCAUGAAUUUCAUUAUGAACUUUUGAACGUUGCAACAAAUUAGCGAAGUUUGCGGAACAAAGUUGGGGAGAUUUUUAGGGAAGAAGUUAGUUCGCUGACCUCAGAUUGACAUUUCGUCAAAACUUUUUUCUUCAAGAUUGGUUUAGAAACAAACUUGUAGCAGGGGUAGGUUAAGGCUAGGGUUUUAAUCAUUCAUAAAAAUUCGGGCAAAAUUUCAAAAGUUUAGUAUAUAUAUUAUCGAAUAAUAAUCUCCGUCCUAUUUCCAUUCUUCCAAGUCUAUCCAAAUUCUUUGAACGACUCGUUCGUCGCCAACUGUCUGAUUUCGUAACCAAUACAACCACUGGAGUACUUAAUCGAUAUCAAUCCAUUAGUACUUACCGCAAAGGUCACAACAAAUACGACAGGUAUGUUGGCAAUGCGAGAUGAUAUUCAGCGAGCUAUGAAAAGAGGUGAAGUCACGAUAGCUGUUCACUUCUAGCAGAUUUCUCGAAAGCGUUCGUUCGAUACUGUGUCGUAUUUUACCAUCUUAAGAAAACUCCAUUCACAAGGUUUCUCCAAAAAAUAUCUCAAAUGGGUCACAAGCUAUCCGACUGGUCGACGACAGUUUGUUCAGAUAGACGACGCAGUGUCAAACACAUCUAACGUUUGUUUUGGAGUUCCACAAGGGUCUAUACUUGGUCCUGUUCUCUUCAACCUAUAUGUCAAUCAUCUCUCUGAAAACCUUGGCAAUUCUAUAUCUUCACAUCAGUAUCCGAUGACACUACUAUCUAUGCACAUUGUAAGCCAGCUGACAUAAAGUCAUGUGAAGAGAAAAUUCAAUCCAAUCUAGAUAAACCUUCCACCUGGUCUAGUUGUAAUAACCUUGUUCUUAACCCCAAUAAAACAAAAGUCAUGCUUUUCUCGAUGAAGAUCGUUCUGUUCAUGUUAAUGGAAUUGAACUUAAAAGAACUAAAUGUGCGGCUUUUGUUGGUAUUGCAUCACCAAAUUCAAAAUGGAAUGAUGAAGUUGAGAAAAUUGAAACAUUUGGCACCAUUUAAAAUUCGGAAGCAACUCGCGAAGUGUAUGGUGCUAUCAAAAAUUGAUUACAACGAUGUCGUGUCUAGUCCAGCACCAGAAUACCCAUUAAAACGCUUACAACGAGUGCAGUUCGCUGCUGCUGGCUUUGUAUUUAAUAGGUACGCUAGAUUCACUGAUGUCAUGUCUCUCGGUUGGCUUCCAAUUUUGGAACGAAUUAUCAUCUUGCCAAAUUAGCAUACAAAGCAAUGAAUUGCGAUGACUGGCCUUCAUACUUAAAAUUUUAGGAAUAUAUUCCUAUAUAAGAACAUUACGAUCAUCAUCUGCCCGGCGUUUAGUAGCGCUAGCCCUUAUUAUCACUGAAACUUUUCAAGAUGAAGCAGGUCAAGUGUUUAAUUCUUUACCUGAAGCAAUUCGAAUCUCAUGCGAUACAUUUAAAGAUUAUUGCAAAAACAUUAGCCAAAAACAGAAUCAGUGACACGUCGUAAAACUUUGUUGAUGUAGCUUAGUGUGUAUAACUAUUACAUUAUUAUUUAUCUCAAAAAUGUAUUUACGGAUCGUAAUAUAAAUCCAAUUAUAGGGAUACAAUCUAUCUAAGACUAAAAUAUAAUUAAGUCUCUAUUUACACUAACUAGUGCAUAAUAAGUGGUGUUAGUUAUUUAAGAGAAAUAUCAAAAAUAGUAUUUAAAGCAGGUAAAAAAUUGUCUACUUUUUUAGUUCAACUGUUGAAAUUUUGACACAAGAGAAGUUCUUCGGCUUUAUCUCUAAGCGGAUGCUUGCAGUUUUGAUCAGCGUAUGUUUGUAUAGUAACGCAUGCAAAGGGUGAUCGGUGUUUUUCAUUUUGUUCAUGUAUUUUUCACAUAUAUGAUAUUUCUUCUAUCGGCUAGAUUAUCAAUCCCAGCUAACUGUAGGGCUUCCAGCUUUUCUCAACUGAUUUCAAGCCAAUCAGACAAUUCAAAUUGUCCUGCCGCGAAUACAUCUAUUGCCACACUGGUGCAGCAUAUUCCUAGGUGGUCAUUGAGUUCAUGACCUCGGGCGCCUGUUUGGUAUAAAAGCAAAGUUUGUCUCUUUUAUGUUGCCGUCCUUCUUGCAUGCAUGUGGGGUCUAACCAGGUGACGUCAUCACUACAAAAUUUGGAUUUCCAGGCUAUACAAAAUUCAUGCAUUAAUGCGCGACAUCAUACCUGGCAACUUUCACUUGAGAUCAAGAUAUCGUUUUUUUUACUGUAAGUCUGUAAACAUACAAUUCAUUAAUUUCUUAGAAUAACACAAACAUUAUUAUAUACACAUAUAUACCAAACUCAUGUUUCGUGGCUUUUCACUCGUAUACUAUUGGUUUGCCGAAUUGCAUCGCACAUCCUUUGUACGAAGGAAGAGGAUCGAGUUUGUUUACUGGUGCAUGUUCCACGAUUCUUGCGUAUUUCAGAGCUCUUCUCAAAUGAUAUGAAAAACUUAAUUCUUAUUAUUCUAUCGGUACUUUCAGCUCCACAAUCGUCGGGAAUAAAAGUGGCUAAUUUAACUUGAAAAUGUGCUUCUCAUUAUAAAAGUGAGCGACUGAUAAAGGAUUUAUUAAAGUGGAAGUCAAGUCCGUAAUGUAAACAAACUGUUUGUUUACAUUUUGAACUGCUGUAGCUUUUAAAAUAUGAUGUACUGUCUGAAUAUCUAACACUAUUUUGGUAUGCUUCUAAAUGAAUAUGAAAUAGAGUUUAUGUUCAGAAAAAUUCGAAACAUUCGAAAUUUGGGCAAUUUUCACAUUAGAGGGUCCUCACAUUGUUAUGAGCAGAACCGAUGCGCAGAACGGACUUGACUUCCACUUUAACAUUAUAGAAAUUACAUAAAUUUUAAAGACGUUUCGAUGUUAACGGCAAUUAACACGUGAUUUACACGUCAUUAUAUCAACUAGUCUAUAAAUAAGAUUAAGGAAGUUUGUUUAUAAAGUACAUGCAGGUUAAUGAAUUAACAAGCCAUUAAUUUAAGAUGAAUAAUUCGAUUAAUAUUUAGCACAUGCAUUAUAUAACGUAAUUACUCUUUACUUAAACAAUAUUUAGAUCUUUACAUUUGCCCCUAGAGCUUAGAACUCAUCGUUGGGGCCCACGUAAACUUCACAAAUUGACACUACAAUAAAAGACAAAUUACAUCAAAUCGCUUCAAAUUAGGCUAAUAUGCAACACUGAAUUGCCCAUUUAGUAUAAUCUUCAUGAUCUGAAAACGUCCUGACUAAUUCUUUAAUAAAUAAACUUACUGCAGAAAAUUUGCAGCAUUACCACAAGCAUACAACCUCUAAUUUGGUACACCGUUCAAUAAGGCAUCCACUUUUUCAAUUUCAAUUUAAGAAAUUGCUACAAAAAGGAAUUAUUUACAAAAGAAACGUACAUUAAGUAUGACAAAAUACAUGUGACGAGGAAGCCCAAGUAGAAACUAUAAGGCUAAUUGAGUUGUGGGCUUCCUAGUCAUUUAUAAUAAGCAUUAAAAUAUUGAAUUCACAUGCAGGUGUGCUAGUAGUCAGAUAGAAUGAACUAAAUAAGGCAUAUCUCGGUGGGUUAGACAUCAAAGUAUAUUAAAUAUAUAUUAUAUAGGCGAGAGAAUAAAAAAUAUUUUAAUUUGGAUUGCAUGGAAUUUUUGAAGAGUUGGUGCAUUACGAAUAUCGUUACCCAGUGCAGUAUAUAUGUACAGUAUAUAUGAUUACAUGCAAUGUAUACAAUGUACAGUAUAUAUAAAUAUAUAUAUAUAUAUAUAUAUAUAUAUAUAUAUAUAUAUAUAUAUAUAUAUAUAUAUAUAUAUAAUUUCGCUUACCUCAAAAUUCCGCAACAGUCUGUUUCAUCAGUAAAAAAUCAUCGUACCACCUGAUGAUUCUUUACUGAUGAAACAGACUGUUGCGGAAUUUUGAGGUAAGCGAAAUUCUAUAUUUGCUUUAUUUUUAUGGUAUUGAGCACUCUUCGCGUCUCGUAUACAUAAACCUAUAUAUAUAUAUAUAUAUAUAUAUAUAUAUAUAUAUAUAUAUAUAUAUAUAUAUAUAUAUAUAUAUAUAUAUAUAUAUAUAUAUAUAUAUAUAUAUAUAUAUAUAUAUAUAUAUAUAUAUAUACCGGGUGGCGCAAAAAAAAGUUAACCUGUUUGAUUUAAUUUAACUAAAAGACUAAAAGAGCUAUUACACCUAAACUACGUGCAUUGCAUUUAGUAUUGUCUGACUUAAAUUUUGAUAUACGCCCCGUGCAAUUUCGUGCAAUAUUGACCGAGAGAGCUGCGUUUAAACUUGAAUAAACAUUUUGGGAAAUGUUGAGAAUUAGCUAAAAACGGCUUGUUAAACUAAUUGAUAACCGUUACCAUUUUACCGUAAAUAUUAUUUUCAAUGAAGUGAAGUUUAAAUUAAAAAUCUUUAUUGGAUCGAUGUGCUCUUUUAUUUUUGUUUAAGAUCUUUGGGAAUGCAUGAAAAUUAAAUUAUGAAACGAUUUUGACUAAAAGAUUUAUUCUAUAAAUAUUCAAUGAUUCUGGGGAAUCAAAUUCUAAUGUUUCAAGAAAGAAACGUCAAGUGUUUUUUUAUAAAUACGCCUCGUUUAACGAAAGACCAAAGAGUUUCGAUAUUUUUAGAACAUGCAAGGGUAAAUAAUGCUCGUGAGGUUAUACCGGCGGCGUUGGGCAGGUCUCUGACAACGAACGUGUACUUUCUGACUAUAGUUCGCCUAAGCACAGGUUAUUGCUGUAUUAAAUAUUUGAUAGGCCGUUUUUGGCUAAUUCUCGACACUUCCAAAAAUGCUUACUCAAGUUUAAACGCAGCCCUCUCGGUCAAUAUCGCACGAAAAUGCACAGGGCGUAUAUCAAAAUUUAAGUUAGACAAUACUGAAUGCAAUGCACGUAGUUCACGUGUAAUAGCUCUUUUAGCAUUUAAGUUAAAACAAAUCAAAGAGGUUAACUUUUUUUUGCGCCACCCGGUAUAUAUAAGUAGGUUUACACUCUCAUCCGUAAACAUAUACCUCAUUUCCAGAAAUAUUGAAGUUGGGCAAAUUUAAACAUAAGUUGGGCAAGAAGAUGGGGAAAUAAACUGAAAAUAAAGAAAUAAGUACUAGGGAAAUAGUCGAAAUUAAAAUGCAAGUAAUGUGUAAGGUGACAAGAAUUCUGGAAAAUUUUGCAUGAAAAUUUAGUAUGCCGGGAUGAGUCUGGCAAAAUGCAAAAAGUCGGGUAAAUUUCUUUACGCCAUCCUAAUCCCCCCGUAUAUGCCAAUGCCCUCAACCUUGCUUGAUCCGCGGGGCUUUAAGUCAAUCGUCUACAACUGCAUGGCUUCGGUCCUGUCCGGGACUUUUAUGGAAAUGCUUUAAUGCUGGUCACCACAACUUUUCUUUUCUCACUUCUACAGAUGACGCGGAUCCAAGGUCGGAUGACAAGUAUAGACAUGACGCAAGGACAGACACAUGUCGGCAGACGAACGCAUAAGAGAAAUUAUGAACCAUAAUGUACAUUAGCAAUAGCAUCAGGUUUUGAAGGAUUUUAAGAAAUAUUUGUG